UGGGGAAUUUUGCGCAAUGGGGGAAACCCUGACGCAGCAACGCCGCGUGCGGGAUGACGGCCCUCGGGUUGUAAACCGCUUUCAGCAGGGAAGAUAUUGACGGUACCUGCAGAAGAAGCUCCGGCUAACUACGUGCCAGCAGCCGCGGUAAUACGUAGGGAGCGAGCGUUAUCCGGAUUCAUUGGGCGUAAAGCGCGCGUAGGCGGCUGCCUAAGCGGAACCUCUAACCCCGGGGCUCAACCUCGGGCCGGGUUCCGAACUGGGCGGCUCGAGUGCGGUAGAGGAGAGCGGAAUUCCCGGUGU
This 303-nucleotide ribosomal RNA is filed under the name uncultured bacterium. RNAcentral's name for it is "bacterial SSU rRNA". It matches the Rfam family "Bacterial small subunit ribosomal RNA", at positions 355 to 676 of the family's 1533-position model. The record is from RNAcentral.